GACGAACGCUGGCGGCGUGCCUAAUACAUGCAAGUAGAACGCUGAAGGAGGAGCUUGCUUCUCUGGAUGAGUUGCGAACGGGUGAGUAACGCGUAGGUAACCUGCCUGGUAGCGGGGGAUAACUAUUGGAAACGAUAGCUAAUACCGCAUAAGAGUAGAUGUUGCAUGACAUUUGCUUAAAAGGUGCAAUUGCAUCACUACCAGAUGGACCUGCGUUGUAUUAGCUAGUUGGUGAGGUAACGGCUCACCAAGGCAACGAUACAUAGCCGACCUGAGAGGGGGAUCGGCCACACUGGGACUGAGACACGGCCCAGACUCCUACGGGAGGCAGCAGUAGGGAAUCUUCGGCAAUGGACGGAAGUCUGACCGAGCAACGCCGCGGGAGUGAAGAAGGGUUUCGGAUCGUAAAGCUCUGUUGUAAGAGAAGAACGAGUGUGAGAGUGGAAAGUUCACACUGUGACGGUAUCUUACCAGAAAGGGACGGCUAACUACGUG
This 495-nucleotide ribosomal RNA is filed under the name uncultured bacterium. RNAcentral describes it as "partial 16S ribosomal RNA". It matches the Rfam family "Bacterial small subunit ribosomal RNA", at positions 28 to 507 of the family's 1533-position model. The record is from RNAcentral.